AUGAUCUCUACAUCCCUCCUGCUGCUGCUGCUGGCAGCUGUACACUGUGUUCACUGUGUUGAGCUGAUCCAGACCGGAUCCACAGUAUUAACCCCUGGUCAGUCACUGACUCUGACCUGUAAAGUGUCUGGAUAUUCAUUAACUAGUACCUACUGUACACACUGGAUCCGACAACCUGCGGGAAAAACUCUGGAGUGGAUCGGACGGAUAUGUUAUGAUGGGAGCACUGCCUACAGUGAGAAACUGAAAAGCAGGUUUCAGGUUUCCAGAGACACGUCCAGCAGCACAGUAACAUUAACAGGGCAGAACAUGCAGAGUGAAGACACAGCUGUGUAUUACUGUGCUCGUGAACCACAGUGAGACAAAUCAACAACAUCCCUGUACAAAAACACCUCAUCCAGUGUACAGUAUAACCGAA
Neoarius graeffei (lesser salmon catfish) is the source of this 418-nucleotide non-coding RNA. The record is from the annotation of a RefSeq genome assembly. Lineage: Eukaryota; Metazoa; Chordata; Actinopteri; Siluriformes; Ariidae.